This 410-nucleotide ribosomal RNA is filed under the name uncultured Nitrososphaerota archaeon. Its description in RNAcentral is "bacterial SSU rRNA". It matches the Rfam family "Archaeal small subunit ribosomal RNA", at positions 451 to 861 of the family's 1478-position model. Lineage: Archaea; Thermoproteati; Nitrososphaerota. The record is from RNAcentral.
UCUGGUGUCAGCCGCCGCGGUAAAACCAGCACCUCAAGUGGUCAGGAUGAUUAUUGGGCCUAAAGCAUCCGUAGCCUGUUCCAUAAGUUUUCGGUUAAAUCCAUUAGCUCAACUAAUGGGCCGCCGAAAAUACUGUGGAACUAGGGAGUGGGAGAGGUAGACGGUACUCGGUAGGAAGGGGUAAAAUCCUUUGAUCUAUUGAUGACCACCUGUGGCGAAGGCGGUCUACCAGAACACGUUCGACGGUGAGGGAUGAAAGCUGGGGGAGCAAACCGGAUUGGAUACCCGGGUAGUCCCAGCUGUAAACGAUGCAGACUCGGUGAUGCGCUGGCUUGUGGCCAGUGCAGUGCCGCAGGGAAGCCGUUAAGUUUGCCGCCUGGGAAGUACGUACGCAAGUAUGAAACUUAAAG